This 253-nucleotide ribosomal RNA is filed under the name uncultured bacterium. Its description in RNAcentral is "partial 16S ribosomal RNA". It matches the Rfam family "Bacterial small subunit ribosomal RNA", at positions 524 to 776 of the family's 1533-position model. The record is from RNAcentral.
UACGAAGGGUGCAAGCGUUGUUCGGAUUUAUUGGGCGUAAAGCGCUCGUAGGCGGACCUAUAAGUCAGAUGUGAAAUCUCGGGGCUCAACCUCGAAACUGCGUCUGAAACCGUGGGUCUAGAAUCUUGGAGGGGGAAAGGGAAUUUCGCAUGUAGGGGUAAAAUCCGUAGAUAUGCGAAGGAACACCAGAGGCGAAGGCGCCUUCCUGGACAAGUAUUGACGCUAAGGAGCGAAAGCGUGGGGAUCAAACAGG